UACGUAGGGGGCAAGCGUUGUCCGGAAUUAUUGGGCGUAAAGAGCUCGUAGGCGGUCUGUCGCGUCGGCUGUGAAAACUCGGGGCUCAACUCCGAGCUUGCAGUCGAUACGGGCAGGCUAGAGUUCGGCAGGGGGAGACUGGAAUUCCUGGUGUAGCGGUGAAAUGCGCAGAUAUCAGGAGGAACACCGGUGGCGAAGGCGGGUCUCUGGGCCGAUACUGACGCUGAGGAGCGAAAGCGUGGGGAGCGAACAGG
This 254-nucleotide ribosomal RNA is filed under the name uncultured bacterium. RNAcentral's name for it is "partial 16S ribosomal RNA". It matches the Rfam family "Bacterial small subunit ribosomal RNA", at positions 524 to 776 of the family's 1533-position model. The record is from RNAcentral.